GAGUCUCUCUCCGCUUCCUGAUCAUCGUGUGAUCCACUUCCCUCCACCCGACUCUUCCACCAUGAUGUUAACCCUGAUUGUGAGCCUGGAAGAAUGGAGCCUGCUGUCUAUGGACUAAAACCUCUGAAAUGUAUGCUGCAACAGACAACGCUGGAGUCUGGCCUAACAGAUGCUUUUCUAAAGAGUGGAGUUCACUUGAAAGUCAGAAGAGGCCAGAAGUUUGGAACUUUCAAAGCUGUACACCAAGUGUGUUUAUGAUAUCCAUUCCACACUGGAGAUGAAGGUUUACAGCAGCCCUGCAUCAAGAAGUUGAUUAUCACCACUUUCUGAACAGCUGGGAUGAUGAUUAGCCUUUUUACCAAUAAUUUUUAGAUUAAAGUGCAUGUACUGGUUUUCAGACAUAAUGCUAUUACUCACAUAACAGGCUCAUAACUUUUAUAUGCACUGUGAAACAAAAUUUCAAUGUGUACUGGGAAACCAAAGAAUUGUGUGUGCUAAUUUAUUGCAUUAUAUGCUUCAUUGUAGUGGUCUGGAGCAACCCACUAUAGCUCUGAAGUAUGCCUAUAUAUUAAAUUAAUACUAGUCUGAAUUGAGACUAAAAAUUUAAAUAAGUCAUUCAUGGAAAGGUAAAGAAAUAAAAGCAUUCCAGGGAAAAGGCAUAGCUUGUGAAAAGUCAUAGAAUUAUGAAUAGUACAUCCUAUUUUCUUUUUUUAAUGAAUUUUUAAAAAUGUUUAUGUUAUUUAUUUAUAUGUGGUGCUGAGGAUGAAACCCAGGGCCUAACACGGGAUAGGCGAGUGUUCUCCCACUGAGCCACAACCCCAGCCCCACACAUGUCAUUUCCAAGAAACUUCUGGCUGUUCCCUAAGGUGAGUGCAGAAGACACACAUUUUCACAAUCAGCACCCGAGAACCAAACGGAGUGACCUGUUGCCAAAUUUGUUGUUGUCUUUCUCAAGGUUUGUUUAAAACCAAUCAACAAAAUUAACAACCAUAAAACAAACCUUUGCUGUGAUCCCAACUUCCCUUUUAUUCUUCUCUUCAUGCUGAGU
Non-coding RNA from Ictidomys tridecemlineatus (thirteen-lined ground squirrel), 1048 nucleotides. The record is from RefSeq and is a predicted model, not a curated record. NCBI's taxonomy places the organism in Eukaryota, Metazoa, Chordata, Mammalia, Rodentia, Sciuridae.